UAAAUGUGAUAUUCGUAAGUCGCUCUGGAUAAGAGCGUCUGCUAAAUGACUUAAA
Salmo salar (Atlantic salmon) is the source of this 55-nucleotide non-coding RNA. The record is from Rfam. Lineage: Eukaryota; Metazoa; Chordata; Actinopteri; Salmoniformes; Salmonidae.